Long non-coding RNA from Lynx canadensis (Canada lynx), 2461 nucleotides. NCBI's taxonomy places the organism in Eukaryota, Metazoa, Chordata, Mammalia, Carnivora, Felidae. The record is from Ensembl.
UAACCGUUUUAUUUCCUCUGCUAAACCGUAAGCCCUACAAGGGUAAGAACUUACUCAUUUUUGCAUUCUCUCCGCGCACGUCAUGCAGUUUCUAAAUGCGUGUUUUUUGUUAAGUGGCUGAAUACAAGAUAAACCUGGCUCAGAAGGGAAACCUUGGGUGGACUGUUGGUGAAGAAGUCGGAUUCCAGUUUAUGUUCUGUACUCCAGCUUGACCUGAGCAAAUCGAGAGGGUUCUCCCUUUGGGAGGCAGGCGGCCCCAGUGCCCCGUGUGCGUGAGACCGCUCCGCUGAGGUCACACUCACCUCUUCCUUCGUUGUGUCUCCACGAGGCAUUAGCCGCAGGCCCCGGGAUCCCAGGCCCUGUGGUUUCCGGAGGCCAGAGGGGUGGCGGACAGUGCCCGACGUUGCGGAAGAAGGAAGAAAAGAAGGUGUUUUUGUCCCGCCGGCUGGUGGCACCCGAAGAAGCCACCUCUGGGUCAGGGUGCGCUCAGUGCGUGUCCCGCCAAAUUCCUGUGUGGAAACCUCAUCCCCAGUGCGAUGGGGUGAGAGGCGGGGCCUUUGGGACGAGCUUAGGUCGUGAGCGGGGCGCGCUCAUCCACGUGACCAGCGCCCUUAUCACCAGGCCCCAGGGAGCUCCCUCGCCCCGUCGGCCCUGUGAGGACACAGUGAGUGGAUGGCUGUCUGGACCGGGCGGCGGGCUCUCCACAGACACCCCGGAUCUUGGACUUGCGGCCUCCAGCGCUGCGGGAAGUGAACGCUUCUGUUUACCAGCCACCCAUCCUGUGGGGGUCCUGGCGUGGGCAGAUACAGGCAGCAAUGGCUGGUCGCCGGUCUGCCGGUCACAUCUCGACUCGACCGCCUGCGGAGACCCCUAACGAGGUCACUUUCGCAGAUACCGGGGGUUAGGAGUUCAGCGUCCCUUCUGGGGACACGGUUCAUCCCAUGGCACCCCUACCAGCGUCAGGUCCUACACGCUUGUGUGCAUUCGUACGUUACUGUAUGUCUGGCCUGCAACGGAGCACCUGUUAACACGCACUUAGCGUGUUUCUGGGUCCUCGACGGCACGGGGGCCGCUCCGUGCUGCUGGCCAGAACCGGGUUCCGCUCUUGCUGUCACCUGCGUCCUCAGCAUGCUGUCUUUUGCCCUCAUGCUGGGUACCCCCGGGGUCCAGCCAGCUCUCCCCAGCUGCCGGCUCACAUCCGUGUCUGAGGUGGCGUGAGAGGGGGGCCGCGUCUGUCCUUUUUAUCAAGGAGGAACAGGCUUUUCCCAAAGCACCACGGCACAGGGGUGUCUGGGUGGCUCAAAGCGUCCGACUCUUGAUCCCCACCCAGGUCAUGAUCCCAUGGUUCGUGGGAUCGAGCCCCGCGUCGGGCUCUUGCUUGGGAUUCUCUCUCUCUCUCCCUGUCUCUUUGCCCCUCCUCCUCGUGCACUGCUUCCCUCUCAAAGUAAAUAAACUGAAACAAAACGCAAUAAACAAAGCACCGCGGCUGCCUCUGCACGUGUCUCCUUGAACCGGGCUGCCCGGCAGGUGAGAAGCAGCCAGAACCUGGAAGACCAUCCCUGAGAGACUGGACGGGACAGACCAUGAAGCCAGCGCCCCAGUGGUGCCUGGCCAGACUGUGCUGUCAUAAACUGUCCCUGCUUCUCUUACCUGUUCUGUGAUAGGCAGCAGUCCUCAGGGGACGAGGUCCAGACCAAGGUGCACGCGGCUUAGGUGUCCUUGGUGUCUUGCCAAUGUGAGUCUCCUCUGAGUAUUUGUGGUUUCAGGUGCCCUGGGCACCGAGGAAAUCACUGUCCCGUCCUGUUGAUUUCUGGAUGCCUGUGUGUCCGGCACCGGCUAAAUAUCUGUGGAACUUAACCCGGCAUCUUCCCCGUUCAAAGACAUCUGAGGCCAGAAACCAAUCUCGUCCAUUCCUUCUUUUGUUCUUUUGUCCGUUCACUUGGCAAACCUCCUCGGUUCCAAGGCAGAUGAAGGAGUACAGGGGGGAAGGCGAGGACAGGGCGCGAGGGAGGGAAGGGGGCCGGCGAGGCCCUUCCAGAACAGAUGGGGUGCGCUGUUCUGUAAUCAGCAGGCAGGUAUGCGCCCCGUAAGCUUUUGGAAUUUCAUAAAUUCCAGUUUCGUGGGCGUAAAAACAACCAGUCGGGACACACAGGAAUCCCUUUCCAUCGGGCAUCACUGCUCACCCUGCACUUUACCUAUUUGUGAAGGGGCUCAACACUUAAGGUGCGUGCUGUUUUGUUUUGUUUUUGUGUUGAAUGAAUAUUCACUGAGCCCAGACGGGAACAUGUCUCAGGAGGAAACGUUUUCAGUUUAUUCUGAAAUGGACUUGCUCUUCCCAUAGCAGCUUGGUGGCCAGGGGGACGGUUCUUAUCUGUUAAUACUUUUUUUUUUUUUUUUCAACGUUUAUUUAUUUUUGGGACAGAGAGAGACAGAGCAUGAACGGGGGAGGGGCAGAGAGACA